UUAUUUGUAAAUAUUCAUGUAAUAAAUAUAUUUUUAUUUAUCACAUAGAUACAUAUACACCUUAUCUUAUACAAAUCCUCAUCCUUAAAAUAAAAAAAAAAUUAUACGCAAAAUUUCUGAUUUAAUUAUAUAGAAAAUAUCGGGUUGUUACAUUUACUUCGUUUUGAAGGAAGAAUUUGGUUUCCAAAUAAUUCCGAGUUGAAAGAAGAGAUUAUGUGGGAGGCCCAUAGUUCGAGGUACUCGAUACAUCCGGGUAGUACUAAGAUGUAUCAAGACCUUUGUAAGAACUUUUGGUGGCCGAACAUGAAGAGGCAGAUCGCUAAAUUUGAAAUCCGUGCGGCCGCGCGCGACACCGGAAGUUGAAAUUUUUUUUAGUUUUAAAGACGUGUUCUCCCACUUAUCUUAUAUCAGUUGAAGUCCUAUGCCCUUGCUCUCCAUUACAUGCACGUCUCCUCAUCUCUACUCAGUUACAAAUUGAAGCCAAAACGUCUUUUCUCCACUACUGAUUGUCGCUUCAGAUCUCAUACCCACGAUCGAUUGCUACACUGAUAAAACCUAGGGUUUCAGAGUGGUUGCGCGAAAUCAGUUUGGGGGUUAUUCAUUUCUUCACCUUUCAGAUGGGUCCUAAGCGUGCUCGAUCUCGCACCCCUGAAUCAUCAUCAUCAAGCCGUCAAGAUGAGGACAUACGUAAUGUUUUAGUGAUAUAAAGGCAUAAGAAUACAUUACAAAC
Molecule: long non-coding RNA, 730 nt
Filed under: Panax ginseng (ginseng)
Lineage: Eukaryota; Viridiplantae; Streptophyta; Magnoliopsida; Apiales; Araliaceae
Description: long non-coding RNA (PGIN_LNC013551)
Source: RNAcentral